UUCCCUGUCAGACAGGUGAUGCGUAAUGCUGUCAGAAAGCAUGUGCUGGUGAAGAAAUACAUUGAGCCCUGCUUGGUCCAGUGAGGUUAUUAGUGAAUUGGGAGAGGCUCAAAUCAGCAUGCAAACUAUUGUGAAAUUUUGGUAAGUGGUCAGUGAUUUUGAUGGUCUUGCCCAAUUAGUAGGAAUGGGACAAGGAAGGUGGUUUAAAUAGGCAGUAGGUAAUUACUUGACAUUUUCCCAUUAUGAUCUGAAAACAUGUUAAGAUCAGGAUGUACUAGAGAAUGAAGAAUCUAGCCUAUUUUCCCCAUUCUCCCAUUUUUACAGAUAGGAGAAUUGGAAAUUGCUUGAGAUUAUAUUGGUAGAAAAUAGAUUUGAAUUCAAGUCAAGACUGUUGUCUUUUACUCAGUGCUUCUAUUUAGAUUCCAUCCAAAUAUAAGGAGGCCAUGUGAGACAGAAAUUAUUUUAUUUCACAAUAAAAAAUUAUUGUUGUGUCAAUGCUAUAAUUAUUAUUAUUUUUUUGCAGCACUGGGGAUCGAACCCAGGACCUCAUACAUGCUAGGCAAGCACUCUACCAUUGAGCUACAUCCUCAGUCCUCACACUAAAGAUUUUUGUAAUAGCUUCUGAGAUUGUACUUACCUGAUGAUGGAAAUUUCCAUGGUAUAAAAUAUUGUUAUGCAUAAAGUUAGUUACUUGGUGCUUGUUAAACAUGCAGAUUCCUGGGCAGCUAGAAACCUUUUCAUUAGUCAAAAGCAAAAUAAGGAUCUGCCUGUUUCUUGUAUUAUUUUUAGGUACUGGGGAUUGAACCCAGGGGCCCUCUACCAGUGAGCUUCAUCCCCACCCCUCCCUUUUUUUUUAACAAUUUUUGUGUCAGUUUUAUUAAGGUACAAUUAACAUACAGUAAGAUUUGCCAAUUUGUUUUUUUUUGUGUGUGUAUGAGGUGCUGGGGAUUGAAUCCAGUGGCCUUGUGCCUGCGAGGCAAGUACUCUACCAACUGAGCUAUAUCCCCAGCCCAUUUUUAACAAUUUUUGCCCAUCGCUUUUUUUAAAGAAAAAUCUUCAAUGUUUUUUUUUAAUAUAUUUAUUUUUAUUUGUUUAUUUUUAUGUGGUGCUGAGGAUUGAACCCAGGGCCUCACACAUGCGAGGCAAGCUCUUUACCACUGAGCUACAACUCCAUUCCCAUCCCGAGCCCUUUUUCUAAUAAUUUUUUUUUUUUUAUUUUUAAGACAGGUUCUUGCUAAGUUGCCAAGAGUCUUGCGAAGUUGCUCAGAUUGGCUUGAAACUUGUGAUCCUCCUGCUUCAGCCUCUGGAGUUGCUGGGAUUACAAGUGUGUACCACCACACAUGGCUCUGCCUGCUCAGCAAAUUCACCAGAGUGCCAGGAUCAAUCACUAUUUCUGAGGAUAUCCUGGUGAGGCAGUUUGGAAACCUUGGUAAGUUGUGAGUAGUUUCUUUGGUAGUAGAGAAGGGAAAGUGGUCAUGAUGUGGCACUUUCAGCCUUCUUUCAGCAGAUAGUUAUUAAGUACUUACUAAAUGCUAGAAACUGUUCUUGACAUUAACAAAGUCACAGAACUUUAAUUCUUGUGAGUUUGGACAAAAGGAUAAAUAACCAAUAAAUGUGAAAUGUGGACUGGGGAUAUAACUCAGUGGUCAAGCACUUGCCUAGCAUGUGUGAGGCCCUGGGUUUAAUCUGCAGCUCUGCCCCGACCAUCAAAAAAGAGUAAAAUAUUGAGAUUUUUAUAUUGGAUUUUUUCCCAUGGUGAAGUGAAAAAUUGCAUUUAAAAUGGUUGAGUUAAACUGUGCAACAUCGUGUGUUUUUCUCCCUUCUAUUCAUUUUCCCUUUUUAUACCUGCCACUGUUUCUUAAUGCAAUGGAGGCUGACCUAGCUGAAUGCAGAUAAUAAUAUUUAUUUAUUUAUUUAUUUUUGUAACUCUUUAUUAGGCUGAAUUGUGAAGGCAUAUCUUUGAAAAGUGUUUCAGAGUCCAGCAAAUGUUCCAUGUGAGUGACCACAUAGAAGAAGAGAAGGGGGUUCGCAGUGAUUAAGGUAAUAUAGUGAAAAAGGUAAGUAGGAGAUGACUCCUGUCAGGGAGGCUCUUAGAAAUGCCAUUUUCAAACCACUUAGAAAGCCUGAAACUUUCUCUAAAAUGUAUUCUCAAAAUAGUUUGGGGGGAUAUAUGUAUUUACUCAGUUUGUGAUCACCACUGCUGAGGAUCAGAAGAACUGAAAUGGUUCCUAAGUAACCAAGAUGGCAUAAACUCCAGAAUUUUGGUGUUGGGGCUCAAACCCAGGGCCUUGUGCAUGUUAAGCUCAUGUCCUAUCCCUGGGUUACACUCCCAGCCCGUGAGCUUCUGGUUUUG
Molecule: long non-coding RNA, 2353 nt
Filed under: Marmota monax (woodchuck)
Lineage: Eukaryota; Metazoa; Chordata; Mammalia; Rodentia; Sciuridae
Source: RNAcentral